RNAcentral lists this ribosomal RNA (486 nucleotides) under uncultured bacterium. RNAcentral describes it as "bacterial SSU rRNA". It matches the Rfam family "Bacterial small subunit ribosomal RNA", at positions 30 to 526 of the family's 1533-position model. The record is from RNAcentral.
AUUGAACGCUGGCGGCAGGCCUAACACAUGCAAGUCGAGCGGUAGCACAAGAGAGCUUGCUCUCUGGGUGACGAGCGGCGGACGGGUGAGUAAUGUCUGGGAAACUGCCUGAUGGAGGGGGAUAACUACUGGAAACGGUAGCUAAUACCGCAUGACGUCUUCGGACCAAAGUGGGGGACCUUCGGGCCUCACGCCAUCAGAUGUGCCCAGAUGGGAUUAGCUAGUAGGUGGGGUAAUGGCUCACCUAGGCGACGAUCUCUAGCUGGUCUGAGAGGAUGACCAGCCACACUGGAACUGAGACACGGUCCAGACUCCUACGGGAGGCAGCAGUGGGGAAUAUUGCACAAUGGGCGCAAGCCUGAUGCAGCCAUGCCGCGUGUAUGAAGAAGGCCUACGGGUCGUGAACUUCUUUUCCCGGAGAAGAAGCAAUGACGGUAUCUGGGGAAUAAGCAUCGGCUAACUCUGUGCCAGCAGCCGCCGUAAUAC